RNAcentral lists this ribosomal RNA (460 nucleotides) under uncultured bacterium. RNAcentral's name for it is "partial 16S ribosomal RNA". It matches the Rfam family "Bacterial small subunit ribosomal RNA", at positions 338 to 795 of the family's 1533-position model. The record is from RNAcentral.
CCUACGGGAGGCAGCAGUGAGGAAUAUUGGUCAAUGGGCGCGAGCCUGAACCAGCCAAGUAGCGUGAAGGAUGACUGCCCUACGGGUUGUAAACUUCUUUUAUAAAGGAAUAAAGUGAGGCACGUGUGCCUUUUUGUAUGUACUUUAUGAAUAAGGAUCGGCUAACUCCGUGCCAGCAGCCGCGGUAAUACGGAGGAUCCGAGCGUUAUCCGGAUUUAUUGGGUUUAAAGGGGGCGUAGGCGGAUUGUUAAGUUAGUGGUGAAAUUUUCCGGGUUAACCCGGGAACUGCCGUUGAUACUGGUGAUCUUGAGAGUAGAUGAGGUAGGCGGAAUGUGUGGUGUAGCGGUGAAAUGCUUAGAGAUCAUGCAGAACUCCGAUUGCGAAGGCAGCUUACCAAUCUCCAUCUGACGUUGAGGCACGAAAGCGUGGGGAUCAAACAGGAUUAGAUACCCGUGUAGUC